AUUUUUGAAAAUAUAUUUAUAUUUCGGAUAUUUUCGGUUACCCAAAAUAUUUCAGUUAUUAUCUAUUUGGUUUCAGUUCUUUCGGUUAUAUAAUUUACUAUCCAUUCGGUUAUUUUUCAAUUUUUGGUUCGGUUCGGUUAUUUUUGUUUCGGUUCGGUACAUUCGGUUCUUGUUGUUUCCUAUGGAAAUCAUCAUGACCCUCUUGCUGAGCAGCUAAGAGUCCAAUACUAACGGAAACUGCGAGGAGGAACCAGAGGAGGAAGGCUAGAAGACUGGCCAUUCAGCAGGCAAAAUAGCAAGCCAACACCCAACCUUCAAGUCAAAAUACAAAAUCCAGAGAACACAAGAUAAAAGAGAAGAAUCCCACAGAGAUAGAGAGUGUUGAUAAGGAGGGUGAUAAGAAAGGUCUUCAACGCUUAGCAGCAAUGGUGUAGAAGAUAGAUAAAAAGAUAGAAAGAACGGUAUGAGAAAUGAAAGACCACUCAGAGAAUACCAUACAAACAACUUUAUCAACCGAUUUAUUGAAUUCGAGCCGGUUAUACUUUAGAAUUUAAGUUUUAGCUUUAAAAGUUUAGGUUAAGCUUUUCCUAAUUAGGAUGAUAAACCGAAAGGUUAACAAUAUAGUUAGUGAUAAAUGUAAAAUCUCUUACUUAACAUAUUGAGAUUUACCAACAAUGUUAUGGAUUUUUUUAAAAUUUUUUGUU
This 704-nucleotide small RNA is filed under the name Arabidopsis thaliana (thale cress). RNAcentral describes it as "ATSL121980". Lineage: Eukaryota; Viridiplantae; Streptophyta; Magnoliopsida; Brassicales; Brassicaceae. The record is from RNAcentral.